UCGGCCAGACUUUCUCUCAGCUGGCUGCAUGGUCAGACAGAGCAGAAUCUAACGUGGUGCUGGCUACCGGACAAUCUUCUCUUUCAUGUCUCAGAGGCUAUGAAGAAACCAACAGAGUCUUACAUCGGCCAAGAAACUCAUGCAGCUUAAAAACUGCAAAGGUAAUGUUUUUCAUUUGAGUUGCCCUUUCAUUUUUUCUCCUCGCUAAACUUUUGAUCUAAAUCUUCUUAACUUUAUAUUAAGUGCUGUGGCCUGCUUGAGGUGUCAGAGUCUUUCCAAUCACUGUUCAUCUGAUGGAUUCCAGCAAGUCUGGAAAUGAAGCAAAGAUUUUGACUCGUGGCUCUGAUAGAGGUCACAAGCUAAGGAUGUCAUUCCUCACAUCAGGAGUAUCUCUAGCUGUUAAAGCCACUUGGCCUGCGGACAGACAAGGAGAGAGAAAGAGCGAUGGACAACGGGAGGAAGAAUGAAUGAGCUGAGAGGGAUUCCAGGCAGUGGAGGGAUCGCUGGCUUCACUUCCCCUGUGAUCGGGCCCUUUCUUAUUUGUCCUCCCACCCUUGGCAUUAUCCGGCAUGAAUUCUUUGGAACGCUUUGGUACUGCUUAAUUUACAUGUAUGCCAACAGGCUUUUAAUGUAUUUAAAUCUUGGAAGAUGUUCAAAGGAAACCCAUAAUUCCUCUGAAAUAGGCCUUUUGAAGGUUUUAUCUCGCUCUUUCUCUCUAGCUAAUCUCACAGCCCCUCAGCAUGCCACAGCAAUUUUGCUAAUGCCAAUUAAGCUUUGCAUUAGCAUAAAAACAGCCCUUUAAAGUUUCGCCCUUUUCAUAUAAAAUAAAGAAUAAUAUUGAA
Molecule: long non-coding RNA, 842 nt
Organism: Onychostoma macrolepis
Lineage: Eukaryota; Metazoa; Chordata; Actinopteri; Cypriniformes; Cyprinidae
Exons: 3
Source: RefSeq, a predicted model, not a curated record